RNAcentral lists this ribosomal RNA (460 nucleotides) under uncultured bacterium. Its description in RNAcentral is "partial 16S ribosomal RNA". It matches the Rfam family "Bacterial small subunit ribosomal RNA", at positions 338 to 795 of the family's 1533-position model. The record is from RNAcentral.
CCUACGGGAGGCAGCAGUGAGGAAUAUUGGUCAAUGGGCGGGAGCCUGAACCAGCCAAGUCGCGUGAGGGAAGACGGUCCUAUGGAUUGUAAACCUCUUUAGGCGGGGAGCAAUGCCGGGCACGUGUGCCCGGAGGGAGAGUACCCGCAGAAUAAGCAUCGGCUAACUCCGUGCCAGCAGGCGCGGUAAUACGGAGGAUGCGAGCGUUAUCCGGAUGUAUUGGGUUUAAAGGGUGCGUAGGCGGAUUUUUAAGUCAGCGGUAAAAUGUCCGGGCUCAAGCCGGGCCGGCCGUUGAAACUGGGGAUCUUGAGUGGGCGAGAAGUAUGCGGAAUGCGUGGUGUAGCGGUGAAAUGCAUAGAUAUCACGCAGAACUCCGAUUGCGAAGGCAGCAUACCGGCGCCCGACUGACGCUGAGGCACGAAAGCGUGGGGAUCGAACAGGAUUAGAUACCCCAGUAGUC